Molecule: non-coding RNA, 109 nt
Organism: Zea mays
Lineage: Eukaryota; Viridiplantae; Streptophyta; Magnoliopsida; Poales; Poaceae
Source: Rfam
ACUCUAGUAUUGACUCCAAUCCACAUGUAUUGAGGUGGAUUAGAGUGUAACUUAAAAUAAUUUACACCCCAAUUCACCUCAACACAUGUGGAUUGAGGUCAAUACUGGA